This 544-nucleotide ribosomal RNA is filed under the name uncultured Pseudomonas sp. RNAcentral describes it as "bacterial SSU rRNA". It matches the Rfam family "Bacterial small subunit ribosomal RNA", at positions 404 to 929 of the family's 1533-position model. Lineage: Bacteria; Pseudomonadati; Pseudomonadota; Gammaproteobacteria; Pseudomonadales; Pseudomonadaceae. The record is from RNAcentral.
UGUGAAGAAGGUUUCUUCGGAUUGUAAAGCACUUUAAGUUGGGAGGAAGGGCAGUAAGCUAAUACCUUGCUGUUUUGACGUUACCGACAGAAUAAGCACCGGCUAACUCUGUGCCAGCAGCCGCGGUAGGCAGUGGGGUGCAAGCGUUAAUCGGAAUUACUGGGCGUAAAGCGCGCGUAGGUGGGGUGUUAAGAAUGGAUGUGAAAGCCCCGGGCUCAACCUUGGGAACUGCAUCCAAAACUGGCGGAGCUAUUGUAACGGUAGAGGGUGGUGGAAUUUCCUGUGUAGCGGUGAAAUGCGUAGAUAGGAGGAAGGAACAAACCAGUGGCGAAGGCGACCACCUGGACUGAUACUGACACUGAGGUGCGAUGGCGUGGGGAGCAAACAGGAUUAGAUACCCUGGUAGUCCACGCCGUAAACUGGAUGUCAACUAGCCGUUGGAAUCCUUGAGAUUUUAGUGGCGCAGCUAACGCAUUAAGUUGACCGCCUGGGGAGUACGGCCGCAAGGUUAAAACUCAAAUGAAUUGACGGGGGCCCGCACAAG